Molecule: non-coding RNA, 21 nt
Filed under: Caenorhabditis elegans
Lineage: Eukaryota; Metazoa; Nematoda; Chromadorea; Rhabditida; Rhabditidae
Source: RNAcentral
UAUUCUGUUUAUACUUUAACU